UACGUAGGGUGCGAGCGUUGUCCGGAAUUAUUGGGCGUAAAGAGCUCGUAGGCGGCUUGUUGCGUCGUCCGUGAAAACCUGUGGCUCAACUACAGGCUUGCGGUCGAUACGGGCGGGCUGGAGUUCGGUAGGGGAGACUGGAAUUCCUGGUGUAGCGGUGAAAUGCGCAGAUAUCAGGAGGAACACCGGUGGCGAAGGCGGGUCUCUGGGCCGAUACUGACGCUGAGGAGCGAAAGCGUGGGGAGCGAACAGG
This 253-nucleotide ribosomal RNA is filed under the name uncultured bacterium. RNAcentral describes it as "partial 16S ribosomal RNA". It matches the Rfam family "Bacterial small subunit ribosomal RNA", at positions 524 to 776 of the family's 1533-position model. The record is from RNAcentral.